UGAGGUGGGCGCGCAGCGACAGGUCUGGAGAUGCCGCUGGCGCGGCGCCCCUCACCGGCCCGCGUGUGCAGACGAGGCUGCACGUGCCUCCAUCCAGCGGCCCCCCAUCGGCCCUUGAGAAGACGACGCGCGCGGGUCUCCUUGCGGCGGCGACGACCACCUCAAGCAGUCAUGGCGGCGGCAGGAUUCCUCAUCUACGGCGAGCCCCGGAUGCGACGUCGACGCUGGCGUGACUUCCUCAUGCACGGCGGGCCCCUGAUGCGGCAUCGGCGGCGCGGCUCCAUGAUCUGUGGCGGUGGCAUGGCGGAACCGGCACGCAGGCUGCUGAAUCCUCUGAUCUGCGACAGUAGCAGCAGUUCGUCUACCUAGCAUACCUAAAGGCAACAACGACGCUGGCUAAGUCUUACAAGCCUUGGGUUUUGAAGUCUGCAAAUAUAAAGUGAAAAGAUUUCAAGGUUGUUUUGAAGACAAAGUACUUUGAUCCUGAUUUAUCUGGUAGACAUAAUAUCAGUAAUGGUUAUGGGAAAAGGAUUCCAACACCUCAUGGGAGUGGCUGGUGAAUCACUAGAAGUCAAAUGAGGGACUGGUAUGUUGUGUUAGCUUAAUUAUUUCUAUUGGUGCUUGUUUUUCUGUACUAAAGCUUCAUAGACUUCUUGCUAUACUAGCUAAUUUCUUCCCUGACCUUCAUGUAUUUAUUAAGCUUAAAUCUGAGAAGAACAAGUCCAAUAGAGCACAACAACUCUAUGGAAGGCACACCACUAGAUCAAGAAGUAAUGCAGUUGUUUUAGACUAGCUGGUAUACCAUUAUCUUAUUGAAAUUUAAUCAUUGAUUGUCUUUAUGUGUUACCACCUAUUGUUCUUAAUACAGGAACUAAAGGAAGGAAGACAGAUAAGCCGUGCUGAGCUCUAUAGCAACACAUACAGGAAAAAAUGGGCACCCAAUUGAUGACUAUAACUUUGAAAAAAAAAUACAACUUGAUUAUUUGUCAGCCAUAAAACUGAUGAUGCUGGUGCUCGUUUAAUCAACUUGAUUCAUAGAUAUAUCAGUUCUGGGUUAUCUGAAUCAUGGAAGCUCUCUCCCUCUACUUCUUUAUCUACAUCUUUUGUUGCACUACUUCCAUUUGCAUCAUUUAGGAUUUGGGACCUACACAAAAGGACAUGGGAAUAUCAUUUGAAGAUAGAUAUUUGAUUAUUUUUCUACCUUAUUGAUUGUGUUUGGUAACAAAUAUAACUCUGUAUGCCAGAAAGAUUAAAUGAUUGUAUUGUGCUGUUAAUAUCUGUUUCCAUUGGUUAAUUUCUUGA
This is a long non-coding RNA of Sorghum bicolor (sorghum), 1302 nucleotides long. RefSeq lists it as uncharacterized. Lineage: Eukaryota; Viridiplantae; Streptophyta; Magnoliopsida; Poales; Poaceae. The record is from RefSeq and is a predicted model, not a curated record. The transcript is spliced from 3 exons.